RNAcentral lists this ribosomal RNA (897 nucleotides) under Nigrospora sp. 1 MW-2017. RNAcentral describes it as "eukaryotic LSU rRNA". It matches the Rfam family "Eukaryotic large subunit ribosomal RNA", at positions 35 to 959 of the family's 3401-position model. The record is from RNAcentral. Lineage: Eukaryota; Fungi; Ascomycota; Sordariomycetes; Amphisphaeriales; Apiosporaceae.
UAAGCAUAUCAAUAAGCGGAGGAAAAGAAACCAACAGGGAUUCCCCUAGUAACGGCGAGUGAAGCGGGAACAGCUCAAAUUUGAAAUCUGGCCCUCGGGUCCGAGUUGUAAUUUGUAGAGGAUGCUUUUGGUGCGGUGCCUUCCGAGUUCCCUGGAACGGGACGCCUUAGAGGGUGAGAGCCCCGUACGGUUGGACGCCUAGCCUCUGUAAAGCUCCUUCGACGAGUCGAGUAGUUUGGGAAUGCUGCUCUAAAUGGGAGGUAUAUUUCUUCUAAAGCUAAAUACUGGCCAGAGACCGAUAGCGCACAAGUAGAGUGAUCGAAAGAUGAAAAGCACUUUGAAAAGAGGGUUAAAUAGCACGUGAAAUUGUUGAAAGGGAAGCGUUUAUCACCAGACUUUUUCUGGGGGGAUCAUCCGGUGUUCUCACCGGUGCACUUCCCCCAGUGGAGGCCAGCAUCGGUUUUCGGAGGGGGAUAAAAGCUUCGGGAAUGUGACUCCCUCGGGAGUGUUAUAGCCCGCUGCAUAAUACCCUUCUGGGGACCGAGGUUCGCGCAUCUGCAAGGAUGCUGGCAUAAUGGUGAUCAACGACCCGUCUUGAAACACGGACCAAGGAGUCGAACAUUUAUGCGAGUGUUUGGGUGUCAAACCCUCACGCGUAAUGAAAGUGAACGGAGGUGAGAGCCCUUACGGGUGCAUCAUCGACCGAUCCUGAUGUCUUCGGAUGGAUUUGAGUAAGAGCAUAACUGUUCGGACCCGAAAGAUGGUGAACUAUGCGUGGAUAGGGUGAAGCCAGGAGAAAUCCUGGUGGAGGCUCGCAGCGGUUCUGACGUGCAAAUCGAUCGUCAAAUCUGCGCAUGGGGGCGAAAGACUAAUCGAACCAUCUAGUAGCUGGUUACC